GAAAAUCUCUGCUGCAGCUCCAGGCUGGGAUAGAUCUGUGCCUUCUAAAACACAUCUGUGUAUUUCAACAGUGGAGCAAUGCCAUCAGUGCUAUCACGAAAGUAAUGUUUUGGCGUAUCUGGCUAUCCCACUACACUUGUUGCCUGAUUCUGCUCUUCAUAAGCCAUGGCCACCACAGCCAGGAUCAAGUUCACCAGAUAGAAAGAACCCACAAAGAUGACCAAGACGAAGAAGAUCAUGUACGUUUUCCCAGCUGCUCGUAAGAUAUCCCGAAAGACAUGGAAGAGAAAUUAAAGUAAAAAGAGCCAAGAGUUAGACUGUAGAGACCUGACAGUGUGCAAAGGCCUGUGCUUUCUCACAGAGUGGGCCUUUCCUGGAGGCUGUGGCCACCAAAA
This is a long non-coding RNA of Bubalus bubalis (water buffalo), 395 nucleotides long. RefSeq lists it as uncharacterized. NCBI's taxonomy places the organism in Eukaryota, Metazoa, Chordata, Mammalia, Artiodactyla, Bovidae. The transcript is spliced from 3 exons. The record is from RefSeq and is a predicted model, not a curated record.